UGGGGAAUAUUGGACAAUGGGCGCAAGCCUGAUCCAGCCAUGCCGCGUGUGUGAAGAAGGCCUUUUGGUUGUAAAGCACUUUAAGCGAGGAGGAGGCUACUUGGAUUAAUACUCUAGGAUAGUGGACGUUACACGCAGAAUAAGCACCGGCUAACUCUGUGCCAGCAGCCGCGGUAAUACAGAGGGUGCGAGCGUUAAUCGGAUUUACUGGGCGUAAAGCGUGCGUAGGCGGCUUUUUAAGUCGGAUGUGAAAUCCCUGAGCUUAACUUAGGAAUUGCAUUCGAUACUGGGAAGCUAGAGUAUGGGAGAGGAUGGUAGAAUUCCAGGUGUAGCGGUGAAAUGCGUAGAGAUCUGGAGGAAUACCGAUGGCGAAGGCAGCCAUCUGGCCUAAUACUGACGCUGAGGUACGAAAGCAUGGGGAGCAAACAGG
RNAcentral lists this ribosomal RNA (430 nucleotides) under bacterium. RNAcentral describes it as "partial 16S ribosomal RNA". It matches the Rfam family "Bacterial small subunit ribosomal RNA", at positions 355 to 776 of the family's 1533-position model. The record is from RNAcentral.